GACGAACGCUGGCGGCGUGCUUAACACAUGCAAGUCGAACGGAAAGGCCCUGCUUUUGUGGGGUGCUCGAGUGGCGAACGGGUGAGUAACACGUGAGUAACCUGCCCUUGACUUUGGGAUAACUUCAGGAAACUGGGGCUAAUACCGGAUAGGAGCUCCUGCUGCAUGGUGGGGGUUGGAAAGUUUCGGCGGUUGGGGAUGGACUCGCGGCUUAUCAGCUUGUUGGUGGGGUAGUGGCUUACCAAGGCUUGGACGGGUAGCCGGCCUGAGAGGGUGACCGGCCACAUUGGGACUGAGAGACGGCCCAGACUCCUACGGGAGGCAGCAGUGGGGAAUAUUGCACAAUGGGCGGAAGCCUGAUGCAGCAACGCCGCGUGCGGGAUGACGGCCUUCGGGUUGUAAACCGCUUUCGCCUGUGACGAAGCGUGAGUGACGGUAAUGGGUAAAGAAGCACCGGCUAACUACGUG
Molecule: ribosomal RNA, 468 nt
Filed under: uncultured bacterium
Lineage: Bacteria
Description: partial 16S ribosomal RNA
Rfam family: Bacterial small subunit ribosomal RNA
Source: RNAcentral